Magnolia sinica is the source of this 1343-nucleotide long non-coding RNA. RefSeq lists it as uncharacterized. Lineage: Eukaryota; Viridiplantae; Streptophyta; Magnoliopsida; Magnoliales; Magnoliaceae. The record is from RefSeq and is a predicted model, not a curated record. The transcript has 4 exons.
GUACACAUAUUGCUGUCAUGAGUCCCUCAGAAGUACCGAUAGGAUCCCAUGUAGGACCCGACCAUCAUAUGGUGAUUGGCUACACUCCUGCCUCUAGUGGGUCCAUAAAUGCACCACUGGUUCAAUUUCGAUACCAAGCACCUCAUUUUGGCAUGUUUCAACAAAAUCUCUUCAACAUUAGACCACAGACUUCAAUUGGUACCAGUCUGAGUCAUUUUGGAAUACCUAAGAUCGGCCCUAGUGGAUCAAUUAGUGGCCCUUUGGUUGCUUGUGGCUACCAACCAAGUACAAACUUGUACAAGCAAAUUCCCUCAAGCAACCUGCAAUUGGCACAUUUACGUGAAGAUACAUCUAUAGGAAGUAUUGCAUUUCAACAGUUAUCAUCAGCACCAUGUGAUAAGAGUCAACUGUUACAGUGUGAAGAACACAACCUACAUUUGAAAAAAUAGAUUUUCUUUCCUCAAACGUAAAUUCUACAUGUCUGAAAUGAUGGUACAAGAUGUGUAUGAGAAGAUUACAUUGCUCUUCAGCACUUUUGGGUUUUUAAGCUGCAUGUGGCUUCAUAGCUGGAAGCAGUCGCAACCCUCAUGGCUCUCCAUGUAGGACAUGAUAUGGUUUUCAACAACAGCCCCUGUAUGUAGCAGCAGAAGCAACAUGUUCUUUUCAAAUCAAUGUGGCCUUCUUUUGCUCCAUGCAGUUGUCCUGCGGCUGAUGUUGUGCAAGUUUUGGAUAGGAGCUACCUUGGUCAUUUUGUCUUGGGCUGUUGUGGGUUUGGUAUGUCUUAUUAUGGUGUGCAGCUGGUUUAUAGGGAUGGUAGUUGGUGGGUGUCAUUGAAGAUUUAGAUCAAUUUUGGGGUGCCAGAUUGGUGGCUUGUUUUGUGGGUCUGUUAUAAUUUUUUAAUUUUUUUAGCCCUGUAUAGUUUUUUGUUUUUUUUUGUUUUGUUUUGUUUUGUUUUGUUUUUUUUUUUUGUACAAGUGCUCUAAAUGAUAGGCAUGACUGCUGCCCUUUUUGUUGGCGUCCGCUUGAAUAGUUGUAUAGAGCAUUUCCACUCAAUAAUCUUAGGUGGUGUUCUUCACCUUUAGAAAAAGAAGAAGAAAGAAUGGGUAUAUAUCAAUAUGAGCAGGAUUUGGAUUUUGACUAUGUGAUUUAGAUGUGGAUUGAAUAUGUAAUUGAAUGAUUAACAGGUUGAAUGUGGAUUGCAUGUGUAAUUGAAUGUAAAUGCGUUGUUGGCAAAUAAUCAAGUCCUUUUUGUUGCUUUAGCCUUGUCAAUAUGAUGAACGCAUUGAAAUAUGUAAGUUUCCCAGAUAUUUAUUUGAAGGUAAGCAGGAUUGUUACGCAGGCUA